RNAcentral lists this ribosomal RNA (429 nucleotides) under Gemmatimonadota bacterium. RNAcentral describes it as "Gemmatimonadetes bacterium partial 16S ribosomal RNA". It matches the Rfam family "Bacterial small subunit ribosomal RNA", at positions 355 to 776 of the family's 1533-position model. Lineage: Bacteria; Pseudomonadati; Gemmatimonadota. The record is from RNAcentral.
UAGGGAAUCUUCGGCAAUGGACGAAAGUCUGACCGAGCAACGCCGCGUGAGUGAAGAAGGUUUUCGGAUCGUAAAACUCUGUUGUUAGAGAAGAACAAGGACGUUAGUAACUGAACGUCCCCUGACGGUAUCUAACCAGAAAGCCACGGCUAACUACGUGCCAGCAGACGCGGUAAUACGUAGGUGGCAAGCGUUGUCCGGAUUUAUUGGGCGUAAAGCGAGCGCAGGCGGUUUCUUAAGUCUGAUGUGAAAGCCCCCGGCUCAACCGGGGAGGGUCAUUGGAAACUGGGAGACUUGAGUGCAGAAGAGGAGAGUGGAAUUCCAUGUGUAGCGGUGAAAUGCGUAGAUAUAUGGAGGAACACCAGUGGCGAAGGCGGCUCUCUGGUCUGUAACUGACGCUGAGGCUCGAAAGCGUGGGGAGCAAACAGG